This 1479-nucleotide ribosomal RNA is filed under the name uncultured Bordetella sp. RNAcentral's name for it is "partial 16S-23S ribosomal RNA intergenic spacer". It matches the Rfam family "Bacterial small subunit ribosomal RNA". Lineage: Bacteria; Pseudomonadati; Pseudomonadota; Betaproteobacteria; Burkholderiales; Alcaligenaceae. The record is from RNAcentral.
GGUUCGAUUAUGGCUCAGAUUGAACGCUGGCGGGAUGCUUUACACAUGCAAGUCGAACGGCAGCACGGACUUCGGUCUGUAUGAGUGGCAAAGAACGGGCAUAAUGCAUGGAACGCCUUAGUAGCGUAGAUAACUACGGGAAAGCGUAGCCAGAUCAUUGGUAUUACUACUACCUUUCGGGGAAAGCGGGGACCUUCGGGCCUCGCACUAGGAGCGGCCGAUAUCGGAUUAGCUAGUUGGUGGGGUAACGGCUCACCAAGGUCGAUUCGUAGCUGGUUUGAGAGGACGACCAGCCACACGGACCGAGCGCCCAGACUCCUACGGGAGGCAGCAGUGGGGAAUUUUGGACAAUGGGGGAAACCCUGAUCCAGCCAUCCCGCGUGUGCGAUGAAGGCUCUCGGGUUGUAAAGCACUUUUGGCAGGAAAGAAACGGCACGGGAUAAUACCCCGUGCAACUGACGGUACCUGCAGAAUAAGCACCGGCUAACUACGCUGCAGCCGCGGUAAUACGGUAGGCAAGCGUUAACGGAAUACUUAGUGGGUGUGCAGGCGCGUUGGAAAGAAAGAUGUGAAAUCCCAGAGCUAACUUUGAACUGCAUUUUUAACUACCGAGUUAGGAGUGUGUCAGAGGGAGGUGGAAUCUUGCGUAGUGCAGUGAAAUGCGUAGAUAUGCGUGGAGGAACACCGAUGGCGAAGGCAGCUUCCUGGGAUAACACUGACGCUCAUGCACGAAAGCGUGGGGAGCAAACAGGAUUAGAUAUCUUCAGGGUCCACGCGUGCCCAAAUCAGAUGUCAACUAGCUGUUGGGGCCUUCGGCCUUGGUAGCGCAGCUAACGCGUGAAGUUGACCGCCUGGGGAGUACGGUCGCAAGAUUAAAACUCAAAGGAAUUGACGGGGACCCGCACAAGCGGUGGAUGAUGUGGAUUAAUUCGAUGCAACGCGAAAACCUUACCUACCCUUGACAUGUCUGAAUCCCGAAGAGAUUUGGGAGUGCUCGCAAGAGAACCGGAACACAGGUGCUGCAUGGCUGUCGUCAGCUCGUGUCGUGAGAUGUUGGGUUAAGUCCCGCAACGAGCGCAACCCUUGUCAUUAGUUGCUACGAAAGGGCACUCUAAUGAGACUGCCGGUGACAAACCGGAGGAAGGUGGGGAUGACGCCGGUCCUCAUGGCUCCCAUAGGUAGGGUUUUCCACACGUCAUACAAUGGUCGGGACAGAGGGUCGCCAACCCAGGUGUGGGAGCCAAUCCCAGAAACCCGAUCGUAGUCCAUUGAUCGAGUUCUGCAACCUGACUGCGUGAAGUCGGAAUCGCUAGUAAUCGCGGAUCAGCAUGUCGCGGUGAAUACGUUCCCGGGUCUUGUACACACCGCCCGUCACACCAUGGGAGUGGGUUUUACCAGAAGUAGUUAGCCUAACCGUAAGGAGGGCGAUUACCACGGUAGGAUUCAUGACUGGGGUGAAGUCGUAACAAGGUAACCCCA